UACACCUGUGUAUGUUUUUAUGGACAAAGACCAACAUACGGGACAAAAAAUAAAUUCUUUAGCAACCCAGGGCUUUUUGAUCAGUAUGAGUUUUGAUACAUGCAAGCAGGAAUAGG
Small nucleolar RNA from Oryctolagus cuniculus (rabbit), 116 nucleotides. The record is from Ensembl. NCBI's taxonomy places the organism in Eukaryota, Metazoa, Chordata, Mammalia, Lagomorpha, Leporidae.